UAUCUGUCUCUUUAUAUUUUUUUGUAAAUUACUCAUGAAGUGAAAAUUCUUUAAUCUAUAUACAAAAGACGAGAAGACCCUUAGAAUUAAAAUGAAAAAGCUUUUUACUUUUUAUUUUCGUUGGGGCAACGACGGUUUAAAUUUUUAAAAACCAUUCUAUAGCGUAAACAUGCCGAACGUGUUAUGUAAGAUUUAAUUACCUAAGGGAUAACAGCAUAAUUUUUUUAAAGAUUGUGACCUCGAUGUUGGACUAG
Molecule: ribosomal RNA, 254 nt
Filed under: Stereophaedusa japonica
Lineage: Eukaryota; Metazoa; Mollusca; Gastropoda; Stylommatophora; Clausiliidae
Description: partial 16S ribosomal RNA
Source: RNAcentral